Molecule: ribosomal RNA, 654 nt
Filed under: uncultured bacterium
Lineage: Bacteria
Description: bacterial SSU rRNA
Rfam family: Bacterial small subunit ribosomal RNA
Source: RNAcentral
UGCAAGUCGUACGAGAGUUUUUAACUUUAGUGGCGGACGGGUGAGUAACACGUAAGAAUUUACCUUUAGGAGGGGGACAACAAUUGGAAACGAUUGCUAAUACCCCAUAUGCUUUCGAGUGAAACGGAUUUAUCCGCCUAUUGAGAAGCUUGCGGCUGAUUAGCUUGUUGGUAAGGUAAUGGCUUACCAAGGCGACGAUCAGUAUCUGGUUUGAGAGGAUGAUCAGACACACUGGAACUGAGACACGGUCCAGACUCCUACGGGAGGCAGCAGUGAGGAAUUUUCCGCAAUGGGCGAAAGCCUGACGGAGCAAUACCGCGUGAGGGAUGACUGCCUAUGGGUUGUAAACCUCUUUUUUCAGGGAGGAACAUAAUGACGUGUACCUGAAGAAUAAGCAUCGGCUAACUCCGUGCCAGCAGCCGCGGUAAGACGGAGGAUGCAAGUGUUAUCCGGAAUCACUGGGCGUAAAGCGUCUGUAGGUGGUUGUUUAAGUCAACUGUUAAAUCUUGAGGCUCAACUUCAAAAUCGCAGUCGAAACUAUUCAACUAGAGUAUAGUAGGGGUAAAGGGAAUUUCCAGUGGAGCGGUGAAAUGCGUAGAUAUUGGAAAGAACACCGAUGGCGAAGGCACUUUACUGGGCUAUUACUAACACUCA